RNAcentral lists this ribosomal RNA (493 nucleotides) under uncultured Sphingobacteriales bacterium. Its description in RNAcentral is "bacterial SSU rRNA". It matches the Rfam family "Bacterial small subunit ribosomal RNA", at positions 904 to 1382 of the family's 1533-position model. The record is from RNAcentral. Lineage: Bacteria; Pseudomonadati; Bacteroidota; Sphingobacteriia; Sphingobacteriales.
AGCCCGCUCAGAACUCAAGGAAUUGACGGGGGCCCGCACAAGCGGAGGAGCAUGUGGUUUAAUUCGAUGAUACGCGAGGAACCUUACCUGGGCUCGAACGUAAGAUGACUGUAGGUGAAAGCUUACAUCUCUUCGGAGCAUUUUACGAGGUGCUGCAUGGUUGUCGUCAGCUCGUGCCGUGAGGUGUCGGGUUAAGUCCCAUAACGAGCGCAACCCCUACCUUUAGUUGCCAUCAGGUUAAGCUGGGGACUCUAAAGGAACUGCCUACGCAAGUAGUGAGGAAGGCGGGGAUGACGUCAAAUCAGCACGGCCCUUACGUCCAGGGCUACACACGUGCUACAAUGGCCGAUACAGAGGGCAGCUACCUGGUGACAGGAUGCAAAUCUCCAAAGUCGGUCUCAGUUCGGAUCGGAGUCUGCAACCCGACUCCGUGAAGUUGGAUUCGCUAGUAAUCGUGGAUCAGCAUGCCACGGUGAAUACGUUCCCGGGCCUU